GACGAACGCUGGCGGCGUGCUUAACACAUGCAAGUCGAACGGAAAGGCCCUGCUUGCAGGGUACUCGAGUGGCGAGCGGGUGAGUAACACGUGGGUGAUCUGCCCUGCACUUCGGGAUAAGCUUGGGAAACUGGGUCUAAUACCGGAUAGGAACCAUCUUUAGUGUGGUGGUUGGAAAGUUUUUUCGGUGUAGGAUGAGCUCGCGGCCUAUCAGCUUGUUGGUGGGGUAAUGGCCUACCAAGGCGGCGACGGGUAGCCGGCCUGAGAGGGUGUACGGCCACAUUGGGACUGAGAGACGGCCCAGACUCCGACGGGAGGCAGCAGUGGGGAAUAUUGCACAAUGGGCGCAAGCCUGAGGCAGCGACGCCGCGUGGGGGAUGAAGGCCUUCGGGUUGUAAACUCCUUUCGCUAGGGACGAAGCUUUGUUGUGACGGUACCUAGAUAAGAAGCACCGGCUAACUACGUG
This 466-nucleotide ribosomal RNA is filed under the name uncultured bacterium. Its description in RNAcentral is "partial 16S ribosomal RNA". It matches the Rfam family "Bacterial small subunit ribosomal RNA", at positions 28 to 507 of the family's 1533-position model. The record is from RNAcentral.